AGAGUUUGAUCCUGGCUCAGGACGAACGUUGACGGCGUGCCUAAUCUAUGCAAGUCGAACGAGCCUUGGCUUGCCAAGGCUAGUGGCAGACGAGUGAGUAAUACGUGGAUACCUACCUCUAUCACGGGAAUAACCCACCGAAAGGAGGGCUAAUACCCGAUAGCCUCGCUUGCGAGUAAAGGUUUAGAGCAAUCUAUUCCGGGUAGAGAGGGGUCCGCGCGCCAUCAGCUUGUUGGUAGGGUAACGGCCUACCAAGGCUAUGACGGCUAGGGGGCGUGAGAGCGUGACCCCCCACGAGGGCACUGAGACACGGGCCCUACGCCUACGGGCGGCAGCAAGUGGGAAUAGUACGCAAUGGGCGAAAGCCUGACGUCGCGACGCCGUGUGAGGGAUGAAGGCCUUCGGGUUGUAAACCUACAUUAAAAAGCACCGGCUAACUACGUGCCAGCAGCAGCGGUAAUACGUAGGGUGCAAACGUUGUCCGGUAUUAUUGGGCGUAAAGAGUUCUGUAGGCGGAAGUGUAAGUUAUACGUUAAAGCCUCCGGCUCACCCGGAGAAAGGCGUGUAAUACUGCACUUCUAGAGGUACCUAGGGGUAAGCGGAACGUAUGGAGUAGGGGUGAAAUCCAUUGAUACCAUACGGAACACCAAAGGCGAAGGCAGCUUACUGGGAGUAACCUGACGCUGAGAGACGAAAGCACGGGCAGAAAAGCGGAUUAGAUACCCGCGUAUUCCGUGCCGUAAACGAUGCCUGCUAGAUCCAUGGGCUUUUAUGCUUGUGGGUCGAAGCUAACGCGUUAAGCAGGCCGCCUGGGAAGUACGGUCGCAAGGCUAAAACUCAAAGGAAUUGGCGGGAAUCUGCACAAGCGGUGGAGCGCGUGGUUUAAUUGGAUGAUAACCCAAGAACCUUACCCAGGCUUGACAUUCUGAUGCAAACCCUGUGAAAGCAGGGCUCCUUCGAGGGUUCAGAACAGGUGUCGCAUGGCUGUCGUCAGCUCGUGCCGUGAGGUGUACGGUUAAGUCCGUCAACGAGCGCAACCCCUACUGUUAGUUGUAUCACUCUAACGGGACUGCCCCGGUAACGGGGAGGAAGGUGGGGAUGACGUCAAGUCGGCGUGGCCCUUAUGCCUGGGGCUACACACACGCUACAAUGGCCGGUACAGUGGGUCGCAACACGGUGACGUGAAGCUAAUCCCUUAAAGCCGGUCUCAGUUCGGAUUGCAGGCUGCAAUUUGCCUGCAUGAAGUUGGAAUCGCUAGUAAUCGUGGAUCAGCUAUGCCACGGUGAAUACGUUCUCAGAUUUUGCACACACCGCCCGUCAAGUCAGCAAAGUUAGCACCACCCGAAGUACCCAAGCUUGCGAAGGUCCUAAGGUGGGGUUAGCGAUGAGGAUUAAGUCGUAACAAGGUACCA
RNAcentral lists this ribosomal RNA (1412 nucleotides) under uncultured bacterium. RNAcentral describes it as "bacterial SSU rRNA". It matches the Rfam family "Bacterial small subunit ribosomal RNA". The record is from RNAcentral.